ACUAUUCCUAUUUUUUGUAAUGUUGUUAAUUCUUCUUUCUCGUAACACCUAUUGAAAACUUCUACAGCUAGUUCUUUUAUAUUAUCCCAGAAUGUGCGAUAGAAUUCAACACUUAGACCAUCUAUACCUGGUGAUUUGUUUAGUUUCAUAUUAAAAAUGGCUUCUGUGCAUUCUUCUAUUGAGAUGCUGCCGCCUAGAGAGCUUUUCUCGUCAUCACUUAAUUUAUGAUCUAUUUUUGUUUCUUCAACAUAUUGCUUAAUAUUAUUAACAUCUGGAUUUGUACUUUUAUAUAAAUUUUCAUAGUAACAUUUUUCUAAAUUUAAAAUUUCUGAUGGUUCUGUUAUAAUUUUGUCUUGCUUAUCUUUCAAUGCCGAAAUAUUUUUUUUUGUUUGUCUUGAUUUUUCUAAACCUAAAAAGAAUUUUGUGUUUUUUUUCCCCUUCUUCUAACCAUUUGACUCGAGAUCUUACUUGUGCACCUUUAACUUCAUCUUUAUAAAGAUUUUCUAGAUUUUUUUCAAUUUUUUCUAUUUCAUCUUUAGUUUCUUUUGAAGGAUUAAUUUUAUUAUUUAAUCUUUGUAAGUUCAUUUCUAAUUCUUUUAUUUUAUUUUUCUUUUCAGAUGACUUGUAUUUACAAUACAUAACAGUUAUGUCCCUUACUUCAGAUUUGAAGAUAUCCCAUAUAUCUCUUGAAUCUCUGGUAAGUGCCUUUUCUUUAUAUUUUAGAAUAAGAUUGUUUAUAUGGUUUUUAUAAUUAUCAUCUAUUAAAAUACUAUUAUUUAUUUUAAAGAAACCUCUUCCUCUGCCAUGGUGAUUUUGUCUUAUUUUUAACGAAAUGGCUUGGUGAUCAGUGUAUGAUAUCAUAGCAGGUCUUAUAUCAGAAUUGAUUACAUGUGGCCUUAUAUCUGGACUGAUCAAAAAGAAAUCUAUUCUGCUUGUUAUAUUCGUAUUGUUUUUCCUUCUCCAUGUAAAUUGAAUUUUGUUUGGAUUUAUUUCCCUCCAUAUAUCUAUUAAUUUGUGUUUUUUAAUGAGCUGUUUAAGGCUAUUUACUGGUUUAUAGUAUUUAUGAGAGCUAUUUGAUUUCCUAUCUAUUUUUAAUAGGGUUUCAUUCAUGUCCCCUCCUAAAAUUAAAAUACCUAAUCGAUUAUUUUCUAUGAUGUUAUUUACCUUUUUGAAAAAUUUAUUUCUGUUAGUAUGAAUGUUUGGGGCAUAUACAUUUAUUAAGGUAAAAAUGUUAUCGUUAACUUCAAUGUUGAGCAAAAUAAUUCUGCCAUCAUUAUCUUUAACUUCAUUU
This 1291-nucleotide long non-coding RNA is filed under the name Mytilus galloprovincialis (Mediterranean mussel). The record is from RNAcentral. Lineage: Eukaryota; Metazoa; Mollusca; Bivalvia; Mytilida; Mytilidae.